RNAcentral lists this small RNA (300 nucleotides) under Histoplasma capsulatum. Its description in RNAcentral is "hypothetical RNA". Lineage: Eukaryota; Fungi; Ascomycota; Eurotiomycetes; Onygenales; Ajellomycetaceae. RNAcentral also lists the same sequence under 1 other name. The record is from RNAcentral.
UAUCGAACUUCCUAAUCCGAUCGGAAUAUUCUCUUGCUUGGAUGAAGAUUGCGUGAUGCCAAAAGCUACUGAUAAAUCAUUUACUGAAAAACUUCAUUCGUUGUGGGACCGGAAAUCUCCAAAAUAUCGUUCUUCCCGACUAAACCAAGGAUUUAUCCUCACCCACUAUGCCGCCGAAGUGGAGUAUUCCACUGAGGGAUGGCUAGAGAAGAACAAGGAUCCCCUCAACGAUAAUGUCACCCGACUAUUAUCUUCGUCAAGUGAUAAACACAUCGCCAACCUUUUUGCUGACUGGGCUGA